RNAcentral lists this long non-coding RNA (862 nucleotides) under Medicago truncatula (barrel medic). Its description in RNAcentral is "long non-coding RNA (MTRU_LNC007166)". Lineage: Eukaryota; Viridiplantae; Streptophyta; Magnoliopsida; Fabales; Fabaceae. The record is from RNAcentral.
AGGCAUCUAUUUUGCAAACAUUUGACUAUAAAAUGCUAUAACUAUAUCAUAUUGAAACAUAAAAACAUAAACUGAGACGAAACAGAAACACAUAGAUCGUCAAUGAAACUGAGAAAUUAUCACGUGGAAAAUACCAAAUAUUAUGUAGAGCUAGAUGGUGAAGAAUAUCCUGCCAAUGUCAUGAUCCAUAGCAGUUAUACUACAACAUUUCUAACAAUUGAAUGUGCCGAGCCAAGAUAAAAGGCUUAAGGCACUUCUAAAUAACAAUUGAAAAGCACUUUUUAAUCAUGAAUAAUACUCAAUAGCAAGUGCAUACCAAUGUCUAAACCCAAAGCUAUGCCUUCAUUACAUGACUUUGACAUGUCACUUUUGCCAAAAAGCUGAUAGAAUAUAAUAACCGCUCAUAAUCAUGAUGCAGUACCAUCAAAUGACAUACACAACUUCCCUAAAUAUUAGUGAUGAGGCGUUACCAUUUAAAAAAAAAAAUCCAGUGUUUCUGCAAAUUUUAAAUAAAUUUUGAUCUAAAAAUAAUUUUCUGGCGAAAAGCGCACACUAUCAUAGAGCAUACCUUCAUCAAGGAAUAUCUGGUAAAUACAUAUCACAGGAAAAUUUUAGCUAAAAAAAUAAUAUCACAGGACAAGCUGAUAAGUACGUAAUGUUUUUGCAGCCAUUACAUAACAUUAAGCAUAUACAAUUCAUUCUUCCAAAGUCUAUUACAUCCAAAAUUUACUAUACAUCAGCCACACAUGAACAGAUCUUUCAAGCAUCAAACAGUUAAGUUAAACGUGGCUAAAAAUAAUUGAAACGGUAAAAAUACUCAUGCUUUAGCUAACACAGAAGUCAAUACUUACCUUCAUUAGAU